GAAUAUUGGACAAUGGGGGCAAGCCUGAUCCAGCCAUGCCGCGUGUGUGAAGAAGGCCGUUUGGUUGUAAAUCACUUUAAGCAGUGAAGAAGACUCCAUGGUUAAUACCCAUGGACUGUGCCAUUAGCUGCAGAAUAAGCACCGGCUAACACUGUGACAGCAGACGCGGUAAUCCAGCGGGCGCAAGCGUUAAUCGGAAUUCCUGGGCGUAAAGCGAGCGUGGGUUGCUUGAUAAGUCAGGUGUGAAAUCCCCGGGCUUAACCUGGGAACUGCAUCUGAUACUAUGAGGGUAGAAUAGGUGAGAGGAAGGUAGAAUUCCAGGUGUAGCGGUGAAAGGCGUAGAGAUCUGGAGGAAUACCGAUGGCGAAGGCAGCCUUCUGGCAUCAUAUUGACACUGAGGUUCGAAAGCGUGGGUAGCAAAC
RNAcentral lists this ribosomal RNA (422 nucleotides) under uncultured bacterium. Its description in RNAcentral is "partial 16S ribosomal RNA". It matches the Rfam family "Bacterial small subunit ribosomal RNA", at positions 359 to 773 of the family's 1533-position model. The record is from RNAcentral.